This 467-nucleotide ribosomal RNA is filed under the name uncultured bacterium. Its description in RNAcentral is "partial 16S ribosomal RNA". It matches the Rfam family "Bacterial small subunit ribosomal RNA", at positions 28 to 507 of the family's 1533-position model. The record is from RNAcentral.
GACGAACGCUGGCGGCGUGCUUAACACAUGCAAGUCGAACGGAAAGGCUCCAGCUUGCUGGAGUACUCGAGUGGCGAACGGGUGAGUAACACGUGGGUAAUCUGCCCUGCACUCUGGGAUAAGCCUGGGAAACUGGGUCUAAUACUGGAUAUGACCUUUCUCCUUAUGGGGUUUGGUGGAAAGUUUUUCGGUGUAGGAUGAGCCCGCGGCCUAUCAGCUUGUUGGUGGGGUGAUGGCCUACCAAGGCGACGACGGGUAGCCGGCCUGAGAGGGUGAUCGGCCACAUUGGGACUGAGAUACGGCCCAGACUCCUGCGGGAGGCAGCAGUGGGGAAUAUUGCACAAUGGGCGGAAGCCUGAUGCAGCGACGCCGCGUGAGGGAUGACGGCCUUCGGGUUGUAAACCUCUUUCAGCAGGGACGAAGCGUAAGUGACGGUACCUGCAGAAGAAGCACCGGCUAACUAUGUG